AUAUUGCUUUUUGUCCGGAUGGCCUGGCAA
RNAcentral lists this non-coding RNA (30 nucleotides) under Actinoplanes sp. SE50/110. The record is from RNAcentral. Lineage: Bacteria; Bacillati; Actinomycetota; Actinomycetes; Micromonosporales; Micromonosporaceae.